AUGGCGGGCGCUCUCGCAAUCGCCGCCGCCGCCGGUUCUUACGAUCGCGAUUGGGCGGGGCUGCCGGAGGAAAUACUCCUGAUGUUCAUGCGGGAGCUGGAGAUCCCCGACCUCGUCCGCUCAGGUGCUGUCUGCGCCUCGUGGCAUGCUGUUUACCUAGCCGUCCGCCGCCAUCGCUUCCCCCUUCCGAUCCCCCGGAAUCAGCUGCCCUGCCUGCUCUACGCAUGCCGCGAUUCCGCCGCAGACGGCGCCGUCGUCCGCUGCCCCUUCACCGGUGAUUCCGUCCGAGUCCCCCUUCCGCUGCCCCCGCUCACCCGCCAUUCCACGGUCGGCUCCGCGCACGGCUGGCUCGUCACCGCCGACGAGGCCUCGAACCUCCACCUUCUCAAUCCCAUCACGGGCGCCCACGCCGCGCUCCCGCCCAUCUCCACUCUCCACCACGUCGAGAGCUGCGCCGACGCCGAAGGCCGCCUCAUGUACAACGUCUUCGACAGGGGCGAUCCCGAGCCGACGCCCUUGGACGCGCGCGAGGCCAGGGACUGCAUGUACCACCGUGUCACGCUCUCCUGCAGCCCGUCAGCUGGGAGCGCUUGCAUCGUGCUGCUGGUGCACAUGCCGGUCGGCGAGCUCUCUUAUGCCCGGCUCGGCGACAAGCGGUGGACGUGGAUCUCCCCCGACGACCACCAGCUCAUGAGCAUCAGCUGGGGCUUCAUGGACUCUUUCUACAACGAGGAUGAUGGUUUGUUCUAUGUGCUUCGCAGCCACAGGUCCGUCUUCACCCUGAAUUUCAAUGGGCCAUCCCUUGUUGUCAAAAAGAUCAUGCGAAGAGUUAGGAAGGGAGAUGAUCCUUCUAGCAUGUACAUCCUGCAAGCUCCAUGGGGUGAUAUUUUGCAAAUAUGGAGGUGGAGGAGCUACACUGACUCGUCAACACCUGUGGAGCUUCCUAGAGAUCUGCUGGGUCACAACGAAGAUGAGAUAGACCGGUAUAUUGAGCUGAGAACAACUGAAAUAAGGUCUAUAAGGUUGACCUUGAGAACCAGGCACUUGGGAAGUUGA
Molecule: ribosomal RNA, 1056 nt
Filed under: Triticum aestivum (bread wheat)
Lineage: Eukaryota; Viridiplantae; Streptophyta; Magnoliopsida; Poales; Poaceae
Description: partial small subunit ribosomal RNA
Source: RNAcentral